Elgaria multicarinata webbii is the source of this 4614-nucleotide RNA transcript. It is a transcript of the gene named KLF transcription factor 9, with no coding region annotated. The transcript has 3 exons. Lineage: Eukaryota; Metazoa; Chordata; Lepidosauria; Squamata; Anguidae. The record is from RefSeq and is a predicted model, not a curated record.
UCUGUAGACACACCUCCCCUGCAAAAAGGGCCCUUCUGAGUGGAAGGGGGAGAAGGUAAACAGAGUUGAAUCACUCUCCCGGUUGACCAAUUGGUGGUGUUGGGGUGGGUUGGGGGGGCUCGUCGGAGGAACCUUUUGCGUGAUGGGCUUCUGUGAAAUUGGUCCUGAGCAAGACUGUGCCGGAACAGCGAGGAGCCGUAGGCGAGCGGGGAGUGAGUCAGGCAGUGGGCAGCAGCGCAACCAGCCAAAGUCUGUGCCGCCGCCGCUGCUCCUGCUGCUGCCGCCGCCGCCGCUUCCAGACCUCACGCUCGGGCUGAUGUUUCAGCCCCGCGCCUUCUGACGAGGGCGCGGAGAAGGCGCUGGGAAGGCUCGCCGAACCGGCCGGAGGAAGAAGCCAACGCGGCGGCGCUGGGCUGGGCUGGGCUGGGCUGGGCGGCGCGAACUGCUGGACUCCUGCCGCCGCGCUCCUUUCGUAUCUUCUUUCCCCUGGAAAGGGGUGGGGAGGAGGCGAAGACGACGAAGAGGGGAAAACACCCCCUGGUGCUACUUGAAUUACUUGAAACCACCACUUGUGACACUGUUUUCUCCCGAAGACCGCCUUAGAAGAUCCCAACCCCUCUCCGCCGGCGUGCUCGGGAGUGCAUGACACGCGCGCCGCCGCUCACACGAGCUGGAGUUGGCCGGCGUCGCUGGGAAGGGGGCGCGAGCAACGGCGGGGACUGAGGUCAAAAGGUAGGCUGAGCGGCGUUCCUCCCUUGUCGGCGGGGUCACGGAUGGUCGUGGUUAUGUAAGACGCCGAGCCGCAGAAGGGGUUCCCUGUGCCCGGCUGCUGAGGCACCCCACCCCACCUCUCCACCCCAGAUCUGCAGCCGGAAGGCAACACAGCGAGCAGCCUGGUGAUUGCAACACCCACCCGCCCACCUACCCACCCAGGCAGCCGAGAGGGAGAGGGCGGCGACGACAGGCAAGCAGGCGAGCAGCAAGGAAGUGGUUUUGAAUUGUUAGCUUUUUGCAAUUGGGUUCUAGUCUCUCCCUCCCUUUUAAUUUAUUGCCCCCUCGGUGGGAAGGGUGGCUGAUCAUCGCCCGCAGGAUGUCAGCAGUGGCUUACAUGGACUUUGUGGCUGCCCAGUGCUUGGUGUCCAUUUCCAACCGCUCCGUGGCACAGCAAGACGUGACCCGGGAAGCCGAGCUGCUGAAGAUGCCUGAGGAAGAAGAGGAGGAAGCAGCUGCUGUCGUGACCAAGGAAAUGAACGAUCCCCGGGACGCCUGGAAGGAUUAUUGCACUUUGGUGACCAUUGCCAAAAGCUUGUUGGACCUGAACAAAUACAGACCCCUCCCGACCCCGUCCAUCUGCAGUGACAGCGUGGAGAGCCCUGAUGAGGACGCCGGAUCAGACAGCGACGUGACCACCGAAUCUGGGUCGAGCCCUUCCCACAGCCCGGUGGAGGGGCAGGAUGCUGGCGGUGUGCCCGACCCCCUCUCCUCCCUCCUGCGCAGCGGAGUGCCUCCCAAAGGGAAGCUGGCCACCGAAAAAAGACAUAAGUGCCCCUACAGUGGAUGUGGCAAAGUCUAUGGCAAAUCCUCCCAUCUAAAAGCCCAUUACAGAGUGCAUACAGAAAGAAAAGAAACAUGGACCCAACUUUCUAAAUUCUGCAACUCAUCAAAACAAAGGGAAAAGAAAGUUCGAAACCCUGGAAAGCAGCCUGCAGUAUGCUUAACCAAGCAUUUUAAUAGGGGGAAUUCCAAGCUCCUUGCAUAGAUUACAAGAUGCAGCAACAAAAAAUACCCAGUCUGGACAGAUAGAUAUUUUGUCCAUGCACCUUCUCUGCACUGGGGCUCUUGACUCCAUUCUUGCUACUUCACUAGUGUCCUUGUCCACAGAAAACUACUAUACCAUGUAACAGUUCAAAUUACCUUUGUUCCUUCCAAGUGAGACCAACGAAGUUGCUGCCCCUGCCAACUGUACUUCCACAUUAGCACAGAGAUCCUGGUGCAAAAAAACCAUCAAGCUAAAGUUUUGUGUCCUAAGCACUGUUUUAAAAGUGCAUCUGUCAUUGCCUACACACAGUGGCCUCUCCUUACCAUCAAUGUUAUUUAAUUUAGGAGAUACAAUACCUACAGGAAAGGAAAUUCAUAUAUCUUAAGUCUGAAUACAUUUUCUUUCUUGCCUGCAUCAGUGUCUUUGCUGCAGCUGUAUGUUUUCUAGCAAGCUGAUUUUAAAAACAAAACAAAAAACAACACGUAUAUGAAGGGAAAAGAUGCUUUUUAAGCCUGCUGCCAGCUGGCCAUAAAGUAUCCAGAUGCUUGUAAAUAUCUGGAUUCAGUGACAGUGGAGCUCUCGGGAAGUGGGUUGUUCAGACCCCGAUAACCAACCAGUAAUGAUUUGUUUGGAAUAAUCAGAGCCAGAAGCAAAAUGAAAGAGCAGUAGGGCCUGUACCAAAAGUCUUGAAAUAACAGCAACCACUCUGGGACAAAGAAGAAAACCUGGUCAGAGCACAUUCUUAGUAACGCUCACCCAUCCAUAGACACUUAAUGACUUCUGGACAAUUCUGAGAUGUUCACAGCUGGAACAGACUGGCAUCAAGAGGCGAUGAUGAGAACUAAAUAGCCUCGUGGAAAUGCAAGAGAGCAGAUGUGUGGCUGGUCAACACAAGAACGUGGAAUGCUAAACACUCUUGGAAAAAAGCAGGAAUGACACAAAUUCCAGACGCCUUUGGAGACAAAGAGGAAUGCAAGAGGACACAUCUCUAUUCUUGGGGCUGCUGGAGGACUGUCCUCUGUUUGAAGACAUCCUCUCUUUGAAGGGCUGCCCUGUCUAAUUCUGGUUUGAAGAUAAAGAAUUGUAUGAGCUAUUGCCUUUCCAUAGUUGGCAGCUGGACAGCCUACUGAACAGGCAGGAACACAGAUCACCUGGUCACAGUCUUCCACACCAUCAUGAGAUGUAUUGCAUUUCUAUUUAAACUCUAAUAAUUAUGUCAAAAUUUGCAUCUGUACAUAUAAAUUAGCACAUGCCCACUACAUGCUUAUCUGUGUCCUCUUUUGCCCUCUUUUUUGGUGAUGCAUGUCUGCUUUUUUGGCAAUUCACAAGUGGCCACCAAAGGCCUAUCUAGUCCAGCAUCCUGCCUCCCACAGUGGCCAAUCAGAUGUAGACCACAAGCAGCCCUUGCUCUUAUUCCCCAGUGAGGAAUAAUUCUCUUAUUCGGGGGCAUGCUGUCUCUGAAGCUGGCAUAUAGCCAUCAUGACUUGUAGACAUUGAUACAUACUUAGAAUGUGCACAUGUUAUCCCUAUGGAUCUGUCCCUGGACCAGGGCUGGGAUUAAGGCUAAAGUGUUUUGAUUUGGGUAUGGCUUGAGGGUGUUUUUUUUCUGGAGUAUGGGUACAAGAGGCAUGUUUCCCUAUCCUGUGCUCUCACCAUCCACUGAUACUGCCUUGUAUAUCUCCUGGUCCUCGCCCUAUUACCACAUUCCUGUCAGUUAAGAUUGACUAGGGAGACCCUAUCCUUCAAUGAUAGUGCUGGGACUAGAAGUAGGGCCUUUUUUUAGAAGUUGUUCUAGUUCUAUAGAAUUUCCUCUCCAGUGAUUACUCACAGAGGCCUAACCUUCAGAAACCUGUUAACUGUUGAGACUUUCAUUCUAGAGAAAGAUUUUACUAUUUAACUUCACUGCUGAUUGAAACUUUAAUAUAGAAAAUUAGAUGCUUUUAAAAUGUCAUUGAUAUUCCUUCUAAUACUUAACAUGGGUGAUUGAAUGCUGACAUGAAUGGGACUAAAAUGAGGCUACUUUAGAAACGAGUAUUAACAUGCUUGGUGAAUCCCAAGAACAAAACAUUUUUAUAAACAAAGUGGUCAAUCUCCCCACCCCUCCACCAUCCAAUAUCCCAGUGGCCUCCAGGAGCCAGGGAAUGUCAUAAGCAAAGAAAAGUGGGCUGGGGGGAGGGGGGAAAGCAUGGAGUUAAUAGACCCACUUGAGCCCUGUAGACUUCACAGUAUCCCUCGUAUGGCUGGAUGGGUGGCACCCUGAACAGAGUGAGGUUCCACUGUAACCUCCAGUUGGAGGUCUUCAUCCAUCUAUCUUUUAUCUUAACUUUUGCAUUGAUCACUUUGAAAUUAUGUUUAUAAGAAAAUUAGGAUAUUGGGUCAUUUAAUUCACUAUAGAUCUAAGGAAUUCACAUACACAAGAGGUAGUGAUGGCCACCAAGCUGGACAGCUUUGUCAGGGGGUUGGACAAAUUCAAGGAGAAUAAGGUAUCAAUGGCUACUAGCCCUUCAAUUAUGGUGAUACUUGAUUGUGCCACCCUAUUUUAAUGUACCAGCCUCCAGCGUAAUUAAAACCAUUACCAAGUAGGUAGAUUCUGUGCCAGCCAGCAAGUGCAGAAUAGUAAGAUAUAAGAGGAACAGCUGAUCCUCUUAGCUAAUCAUUUACCUCAGUCCUCUGGAGCAAUCUCAAUAAGUUUUUAGCCACAGCAAUGCUCAAUCAGAGCAAACAAUCACGUUUUGAGUAUUGCUCAUUUUACCUUGCCCCUGAGGAACUUUUAUACUUUGCUCUAGGAUUUCAAUGUGUUUAGUUUCCAUUCAGAAGUAUAAUUCGGUAGCUUUGUUUUUGUUUUCCUCUGUCUU